UACGUAGGGGGCAAGCGUUGUCCGGAAUCAUUGGGCGUAAAGCGCACGUAGGCGGCCCGGUAAGUCCGUUGUGAAAGUCAGAGGCUCAACCUCUGGAGGCCAAUGGAUACUGCCGGGCUAGAGUCCGGAAGAGGCGAGUGGAAUUCCUGGUGUAGCGGUGAAAUGCGCAGAUAUCAGGAGGAACACCUGUGGCGAAGGCGGCUUUCUGGGCCCUACCUGACGCUGAGACGCGAAAGCGUGGGGAGCGAACCGG
This 253-nucleotide ribosomal RNA is filed under the name uncultured bacterium. Its description in RNAcentral is "partial 16S ribosomal RNA". It matches the Rfam family "Bacterial small subunit ribosomal RNA", at positions 524 to 776 of the family's 1533-position model. The record is from RNAcentral.